RNAcentral lists this ribosomal RNA (361 nucleotides) under uncultured bacterium. RNAcentral's name for it is "bacterial SSU rRNA". It matches the Rfam family "Bacterial small subunit ribosomal RNA", at positions 27 to 389 of the family's 1533-position model. The record is from RNAcentral.
GGACGAACGCUGGCGGCGUGCUUAACACAUGCAAGUCGAGCGGUAAGGCCCUUUCGGGGGUACACGAGCGGCGAACGGGUGAGUAACACGUGGGUGACCUGCCCUCAGCUCUGGGAUAAGCCUGGGAAACCGGGUCUAAUACCGGAUAUGACUCCAUGACGCAUGUUGUGGGGUGGAAAGCCUUGUGCGGCUGAGGAUGGGCCCGCGGCCUAUCAGCUUGUUGGUGGGGUGAUGGCCUACCAAGGCGACGACGGGUAGCCGGCCUGAGAGGGCGACCGGCCACACUGGGACUGAGACACGGCCCAGACUCCUACGGGAGGCAGCAGUGGGGAAUCUUGCGCAAUGGGCGAAAGCCUGACGC